GUGCUUGCUUUAGCAGCACAUACACUUAUAUUGGAAUGAUACAGAGAUCAGCAUGGCCCUUGCACAAGGAUGCCACACAAAUUCGUGAAGCAUUCAUAUUAUUU
Small nuclear RNA from Dromiciops gliroides (monito del monte), 104 nucleotides. Lineage: Eukaryota; Metazoa; Chordata; Mammalia; Microbiotheria; Microbiotheriidae. The record is from RefSeq and is a predicted model, not a curated record.